This 743-nucleotide ribosomal RNA is filed under the name uncultured bacterium. Its description in RNAcentral is "bacterial SSU rRNA". It matches the Rfam family "Bacterial small subunit ribosomal RNA", at positions 33 to 773 of the family's 1533-position model. The record is from RNAcentral.
ACGCUAGCGGCAGGCCUAAUACAUGCAAGUCGAACGAGAUUAUCCAGCUUGCUGGAUAUGAAAGUGGCGCACGGGUGCGUAACGCGUAUGCAACCUACCUUAAUCAGGGGGAUAGCCCGAAGAAAUUCGGAUUAACACCGCAUAAAAACACAGAAUAGCAUUAUUCAAUGUUCAAAUAUUUAUAGGAUUAAGAUGGGCAUGCGUGUCAUUAGCUAGUUGGCGGGGUAACGGCCCACCAAGGCGACGAUGACUAGGGGAUCUGAGAGGAUGACCCCCCACACUGGUACUGAGACACGGACCAGACUCCUACGGGAGGCAGCAGUAAGGAAUAUUGGUCAAUGGAGGCAACUCUGAACCAGCCAUGCCGCGUGCAGGAAGACGGCCCUAUGGGUUGUAAACUGCUUUUAUCUGGGAAUAAACCUUUUUACGUGUAAGAAGCUGAAUGUACCAGAAGAAUAAGGAUCGGCUAACUCCGUGCCAGCAGCCGCGGUAAUACGGAGGAUCCAAGCGUUAUCCGGAUUUAUUGGGUUUAAAGGGUGCGUAGGCGGCCUGUUAAGUCAGAGGUGAAAGACGGUAGCUCAACUAUCGCAGUGCCUUUGAUACUGACGGGCUUGAAUAAACUAGAGGUAGGCGGAAUGAGACAAGUAGCGGUGAAAUGCAUAGAUAUGUCUCAGAACACCGAUUGCGAAGGCAGCUUACUAUGGUUUUAUUGACGCUGAGGCACGAAAGCGUGGGGAUCAAAC